Molecule: long non-coding RNA, 881 nt
Organism: Asparagus officinalis (garden asparagus)
Lineage: Eukaryota; Viridiplantae; Streptophyta; Magnoliopsida; Asparagales; Asparagaceae
Exons: 4
Source: RefSeq, a predicted model, not a curated record
AAACUAUAAAUGGGUAUAUUUGUCUAAAAAAGAUUUUCCGAACUCGUGCUUUUAAAGGGAGUAUGAUUUGUUGCUGUUAUAAAUGUGAAUUGAGAGCUGAUUGUAUAUCAUAUUCAUUUUAUUUUGCUGAUUUUUAUGCUUUGCUGUAAUGCCAUGAUUUUGAUUGUGACCACAUUGUAAUAGACAUUGUAGUAGAAGUCUCGAAACAUUUCUACAACUCAGUUACAAUAAAGAAAUAAACUUAAAAAGAAACAAACAAGAUACUUAACCACACGCAUUGCACGUGCAUCUCACCUAGUUAUCUGAUGGGUGGCAGCUUAUGUCAGAAUAAUUGACUGAAAUAUAUGAUUCUUUGGGAUACAAAUAUAUGGUCCUAAUUGGUUUGUAAGAUGGGGGAAAUAGUGUAUUAUUUUCAUCCAUGAGUUAAGCAUAGAAGCUUCUAAAUCUAAGGUACUUCAUUCAUGACAAAUAUCCGGCCUAGCUUCUGUUGCUCAGAGACCAACUUUAAUCUGAAAAGUUUGAGCGCUGGACUCAUGUAGAUGGAAAGAGUUGCUCAACUUACUUCACACAACUGCUUAUCAGAGGAGUUCCAAGUGAUUUCGAGGAGGCAUUGUGAGAGGUUUUCGAUUGUCUUUCGGGUUUGUAGACUCGGGAUUAGGUGGAGUUGGUGGUUCAUGAGUUCUUACUUCUUAGAAUGGAGCAGAGAAUAAUAUUCUUCAAGAUUGCUAUUGUUUUCUAGAUGAAGGUUGAUAAAGUCUUUGAUGUUUAGUUGAUAAAUUUUGACUUUUGGAAUAAUAAUAUUCUUUCCUUUAAGUUGAGGUUUAUUUCAAGUUGAGGAAUAAUUAUUUUUAUCAAGUUAAUUGGAUUAGUGUUGACUUUCA